This is a long non-coding RNA of Anopheles arabiensis, 722 nucleotides long. RefSeq lists it as uncharacterized. The record is from RefSeq and is a predicted model, not a curated record. Lineage: Eukaryota; Metazoa; Arthropoda; Insecta; Diptera; Culicidae. The transcript is spliced from 3 exons.
CUACUUGUUCGUCUUGAUUCUAACUCAGUUCAAAUGACUUCCGAUCACUAUCUACUAACGAAUGGCUCUUGAUGCUUACACGGUGUGUCACGACCACUUCCAAUAAGGCGUGUCGUCAUAGUAGCCAUCGAAGUUUGCACGAACGUUGAUUAUUGCAGGUCGAUCCUAGGAAUUACCUGCAGGAGGUGAAAGGGCGUAAAAUUGCUUUACGAGUUGUGUAAUUAAUCAAUCGAAGCAAGCACGGUGUAUAAAGCGCUAGUUUGCCCUUCAACGACAAAGAUAGAUCGACCGCGGCCUUGUGGAUUGGAGACGACGAAAGUAACACCACAACAACACGUGGGAAGUUGCUAUCGCAAAGUCUGCUGAAGGAUAUUGAAAGUAGUACACAGGAGGACCACCAUCGGUGACGUCAAUAGUGACGAACGUAUCGAAAGCAACAUUUGCGAAUUCUAAUGAGAUAUGGCUCGAAAACGGAAGAAAGCAAUAAGAAGGUCAUUGACAUUGGAGACCACUAAGGUGUUCGGGAGUUGGCGUAGAACGAGAAUAUGUAAUGAUGAAAAAUUGAAUGAAGCAACACAACAUACAGCAACAGAGAUCCCAAUCACUAUAUAACAAGGACAAAAGGAUGUAUGAAGUAGUGGUCCUACCGAUUCCGAUUCCGUGUUCGGAAUCAAUUCCAGAAUCGAAAUCGGCUUCGGAAUCGAAACGGACCGGGGAAUCGC